Molecule: ribosomal RNA, 809 nt
Filed under: uncultured bacterium
Lineage: Bacteria
Description: bacterial SSU rRNA
Rfam family: Bacterial small subunit ribosomal RNA
Source: RNAcentral
AGAGUUUGAUCCUGGCUCAGAACUAACGCUGGCGGCGCGUCUUAAACAUGCAAGUCGAACGGUAGUCCUUGAGCUUGCUUAGGGAUGAGAGUGGCGAACGGGUGAGUAACACGUGGAUAAUCUGCCUCCGGGUUGGGGAUAACUGUCCGAAAGGAUAGCUAAUACCGAAUGAGAUGGUGGUUGCACAUGCAGCAGCCAUUAAAGGUGGGGACCGCAAGGCCUACUGCCUGGAGAUGAGUCCGCGGCUGAUUAGCUUGUUGGUGGGGUAACGGCCUACCAAGGCGACGAUCAGUAGCCGGCCUGAGAGGGUGAACGGCCACAUUGGGACUGAGAUACGGCCCAGACUCCUACGGGAGGCAGCAGUUAAGAAUCUUGCACAAUGGGCGCAAGCCUGAUGCAGCGACGCCGCGUGAAUGAUGAAGGCUUUAGGGUUGUAAAGUUCAGUAAGCAGGGAAGAAUAGGCGCCGGGUAAUAUUCGGUGUGAUGACGGUACCUGCCUAAAGCCCCGGCUAACUACGUGCCAGCAGCCGCGGUAAUACGUAUGGGGCGAGCGUUGUUCGGAAUUAUUGGGCGUAAAGGGCGUCUAGGCGGGGAUUUAAGUUAGGUGUGAAAGCUAUGGGCUCAACCCAUAAACUGCAUCUAAAACUGGAUCUCUUGAGUUCGGGAGAGGAGAGCGGAAUUCCAGGUGUAGCGGUGAAAUGCGUAGAUAUCUGGAGGAACACCGGUGGCGAAGGCGGCUCACUGGACCGUAUCUGACGCUGAGGUGCGAAAGCUAGGGUAGCAAACGGGAUUAGAUACCCUGGUAGUCC